This 254-nucleotide ribosomal RNA is filed under the name uncultured bacterium. RNAcentral's name for it is "partial 16S ribosomal RNA". It matches the Rfam family "Bacterial small subunit ribosomal RNA", at positions 524 to 777 of the family's 1533-position model. The record is from RNAcentral.
UACGUAGGGUGCAAGCGUUAAUCGGAAUUACUGGGCGUAAAGCGUGCGCAGGCGGUUGUGCAAGACAGAUGUGAAAUCCCCGGGCUCAACCUGGGAAUUGCAUUUGUGACUGCACGGCUAGAGUGUGUCAGAGGGGGGUAGAAUUCCACGUGUGAGCAGUGAAAUGCGUAGAGAUGUGGAGGAAUGCCGAUGGCGAAGGCAGCCCCCUGGGAUAACACUGACGCUCAUGCACGAAAGCGUGGGAGCAAACAGGA